UAGGUCUACAAGAGCCCUGCCUUUCAA
Molecule: non-coding RNA, 27 nt
Filed under: Rattus norvegicus (Norway rat)
Lineage: Eukaryota; Metazoa; Chordata; Mammalia; Rodentia; Muridae
Source: RNAcentral